This 73-nucleotide transfer RNA is filed under the name Chloroflexota bacterium. RNAcentral describes it as "tRNA-Glu". It matches the Rfam family "tRNA". From Rfam's summary of the family: Transfer RNA (tRNA) molecules are approximately 80 nucleotides in length. Their secondary structure includes four short double-helical elements and three loops (D, anti-codon, and T loops). Lineage: Bacteria; Bacillati; Chloroflexota. The record is from RNAcentral.
GCCCCCUUCGUCUAGAGGCCCAGGACGCGGCCCUCUCAAGGCCGAAACAGGGGUUCGAAUCCCCUAGGGGGCA